This 252-nucleotide ribosomal RNA is filed under the name uncultured bacterium. Its description in RNAcentral is "partial 16S ribosomal RNA". It matches the Rfam family "Bacterial small subunit ribosomal RNA", at positions 524 to 776 of the family's 1533-position model. The record is from RNAcentral.
UACGUAGGGACCAAGCGUUGUUCGGAUUUACUGGCGUAAAGGGCGCGUAGGCGGCGUGGUAAGUCACUUGUGAAAUCUCUGAGCUUAACUCAGAACGGCCAAGUGAUACUGCUGUGCUAGAGUGCAGAAGGGGCAAUCGGAAUUCUUGGUGUAGCGGUGAAAUGCGUAGAUAUCAAGAGGAACACCUGAGGUGAAGACGGGUUGCUGGGCUGACACUGACGCUGAGGCGCGAAAGCCAGGGGAGCAAACGGG